AAAAAAGAUAUUAAGGGCCAUAGGUGGAUGCCUUGGCUAGUAGAGGCGAUGAAAGACGUACUAGGCUGCGAUAAGCCUCGGGGAGCUGCCAAGAAGCUUUGAUCCGGGGAUUUCUGAAUGGGGUAACCCAGCAUGGUGCGAAUCAUGUUACCCUACGGGGAGCGAACUCAGGGAAGUGAAACAUCUCAGUACCUGAAGGAAAAGAAAUCAAACGAGAUUCCCAUAGUAGCGGCGAGCGAAAAGGGAUUAGGGCACUUAGUGAUAAUAUAUUUGUUAGCCGAACACUUUGGAAAGAGUGAACACAGAGGGUGAUAUUCCCGUAAGCGAAAACAUUUAUAUGGUACUAGACUAAGGAAUGAGUAGGUCGGGACACGUGUUAUCUUGACUGAAUAUGGGGGGACCACCCUCCAACCCUAAAUACUACUACUAGACCGAUAGCGAACAAGUACCGUGAGGGAAAGGUGAAAAGAACUGCGGUGAGCAGAGUGAAAUAGAACCUGAAACCUAUGGCUUACAAUCAUUCGGAGCACUAUUAUUUAUAAGUGUGACGGACUGCCUUUUGCAUAAUGAGCCUGCGAGUUGUGGUGUCUGGCAAGGUUAAUCAAACGAGAAGCCGUAGCGAAAGCGAGUCUUAAUAGGGCGAAUUAGUCAGAUGCUGCAGACCCGAAACUGAGUGAUCUAUCCAUGAGCAGGUUGAAGCUGGUGUAAGAGCCAGUGGAGGACCGAACCCAUUGACGUUGAAAAGUCUCGGGAUGACUUGUGGAUAGGGGUGAAAGGCCAAUCAAACUCAGUGAUAGCUGGUUCUCUCCGAAAUAUAUUUAGGUAUAGCCUCGAGCAGUAGCAUGAAGGGGUAGAGCACUGACAGGGCUAGGGCUGCUUACCGCGGUACCAAACCCUAUCAAACUCCGAAUACUUCAUGUGUAACCUCGGGAGUCAGGCGGUGGGUGAUAAAAUCAAUCGUCAAGAGGGGAACAACCCAGACUAGCAGCUAAGGUCCCAAAGUCUUGUCUAAGUGGAAAAGGAUGUGGAGUUGCUGUGACAACCAGGAGGUUGGCUUAGAAGCAGCCAUCUUUUAAAGAAAGCGUAACAGCUCACUGGUCUAGCGAUUCUGCGCCGAAAAUAUAACGGGGCUAAGACAAGCACCGAAGCUCUAGAUUCACAUUUAUGUGAGUGGUAGGAGAGCGUUCCAGUCAGCGUAGAAGCCAUACCGGCAAGGAGUGGUGGAGCGGCUGGAAGUGAGCAUGCAGGCAUGAGUAGCGAUAAAAGAAGUGAGAAUCUUCUUCGCCGUAAACCCAAGGUUUCCUACGCGAUGCUCGUCAUCGUAGGGUUAGUCGGGACCUAAGUCGAGUCCGAGAGGGGUAGACGAUGGCAAAUUGGUUAAUAUUCCAAUACCGACGGAAGUUCGCUUGAGUGAUGAGGGGACGCAUAGAGUUAAUUGAGCUCACUGAUGGAAUAGUGGGUCGAAGGACGUAGGUUGUAUCAUAGGCAAAUCCGUGAUACGUUAGACCGAGAUCUUACAGGCAGAGCAAUCUCUUCGGAGAGCGCUUUGAAUCAAUGAUACUGUCGUGCCGAGAAAAGCCUCUAAACGAGAACUGCCGUUGCCCGUACCGUAAACCGACACAGGUGGGUGAGAUGAGUAUUCUAAGGCGCGUGGAUGAACCCUGGUUAAGGAACUCUGCAAACUAGCACCGUAUCUUCGGUAUAAGGUGUGCCCUAAUUGUUAGGAGAUUUACUCUCCAAAGCGAUAAAGGGUCGCAGCAAAGUGUCCCUCCCGACUGUUUACCAAAAACACAGCACUCUGCUAACUCGUAAGAGGAUGUAUAGGGUGUGACGCCUGCCCGGUGCUUGAAUGUUAAAUGGAUUACUCAGCGCAAGCGAAGGUUUGAAAUGAAGCACAAGUAAACGGCGGCCGUAACUAUAACGGUCCUAAGGUAGCGAAAUUCCUUGUCGGUUAAAUACCGACCUGCAUGAAUGGCGUAACGAGAUGGGAGCUGUCUCAACCAGGGAUCCAGUGAAAUUGUAGUGGAGGUGAAAAUUCCUCCUACCCGCGGAAAGACGGAAAGACCCCGUGCACCUUUACUAUAGCUUGACAUUGAUGUCUGGAUUGAUUUGUGUAGGAUAGGCGGGAGACUGUGAAGCCAUGGCGCUAGCUGUGGCAGAGUCAACGUUGAAAUACCGCCCUAAUGAGUUUGGAAAUCUA
This 2200-nucleotide ribosomal RNA is filed under the name Phenylobacterium sp. Its description in RNAcentral is "partial 23S ribosomal RNA". It matches the Rfam family "Bacterial large subunit ribosomal RNA", at positions 1 to 2224 of the family's 2925-position model. The record is from RNAcentral. Lineage: Bacteria; Pseudomonadati; Pseudomonadota; Alphaproteobacteria; Caulobacterales; Caulobacteraceae.